This 428-nucleotide ribosomal RNA is filed under the name Salmonella enterica subsp. enterica serovar Braenderup. RNAcentral describes it as "partial 23S ribosomal RNA". It matches the Rfam family "Bacterial large subunit ribosomal RNA", at positions 161 to 627 of the family's 2925-position model. Lineage: Bacteria; Pseudomonadati; Pseudomonadota; Gammaproteobacteria; Enterobacterales; Enterobacteriaceae. The record is from RNAcentral.
AAUCCAUAGGUUAAUGAGGCGAACCGGGGGAACUGAAACAUCUAAGUACCCCGAGGAAAAGAAAUCAACCGAGAUUCCCCCAGUAGCGGCGAGCGAACGGGGAGGAGCCCAGAGCCUGAAUCAGCAUGUGUGUUAGUGGAAGCGUCUGGAAAGGCGCGCGAUACAGGGUGACAGCCCCGUACACAAAAGCGCAUGUGCUGUGAGCUCGAUGAGUAGGGCGGGACACGUGGUAUCCUGUCUGAAUAUGGGGGGACCAUCCUCCAAGGCUAAAUACUCCUGACUGACCGAUAGUGAACCAGUACCGUGAGGGAAAGGCGAAAAGAACCCCGGCGAGGGGAGUGAAAAAGAACCUGAAACCGUGUACGUACAAGCAGUGGGAGCACCCUUUUGGGUGUGACUGCGUACCUUUUGUAUAAUGGGUCAGCGAC